UGCGGGAUGGUGUAGUGGCAGCACGUGUGACUCUGGAUCACAAAGUCUAGGUUCGACCCCUAGUCCCGCAGCCA
This 74-nucleotide transfer RNA is filed under the name Bacillota bacterium. Its description in RNAcentral is "Firmicutes bacterium (anaerobic digester metagenome) tRNA-Gln". It matches the Rfam family "tRNA". Rfam says of the family: Transfer RNA (tRNA) molecules are approximately 80 nucleotides in length. The record is from RNAcentral. Lineage: Bacteria; Bacillati; Bacillota.